RNAcentral lists this ribosomal RNA (447 nucleotides) under uncultured bacterium. RNAcentral's name for it is "partial 16S ribosomal RNA". It matches the Rfam family "Bacterial small subunit ribosomal RNA", at positions 29 to 523 of the family's 1533-position model. The record is from RNAcentral.
AGCGAACGCUGGCGGCAGGCUUAACACAUGCAAGUCGAACGCCCCGCAAGGGGAGUGGCAGACGGGUGAGUAACACGUGGGAACGUACCCUUUGGUUCGGAAUAACUUGGGGAAACUCAAGCUAAUACCGGAUAAGCCCUUAUGGGGAAAGGUUUACUGCCGAAGGAUCGGCCCGCGUCUGAUUAGCUAGUUGGUGAGGUAAUGGCUCACCAAGGCGACGAUCAGUAGCUGGUCUGAGAGGAUGAUCAGCCACACUGGGACUGAGACACGGCCCAGAUUCCUACGGGGGGCAGAGGGGGGGAAUAUGGGAAAAGGGGGGCAACCCGGAUCCGGCCAUGCCGGGGGAGUGAUGAAGGCCUUAGGGUUGUAAAGCUCUUUUCCCCGGGACGAUAAUGACUGUACCGGGAGAAUAAGCCCCGGCUAACUUCGUGCCAGCAGCCGCGGUAA